GGCGGCGUGCUUAACACAUGCAAGUCGAACGGAAAGGUCUCUUCGGAGAUACUCGAGUGGCGAACGGGUGAGUAACACGUGGGUAAUCUGCCCUGCACUUCGGGAUAAGCCUGGGAAACUGGGUCUAAUACCGAAUAGGACCCCGAGGCGCAUGCCUUGGGGUGGAAAGCUUUUGCGGUGUGGGAUGGGCCCGCGGCCUAUCAGCUUGUUGGUGGGGUGACGGCCUACCAAGGCGACGACGGGUAGCCGGCCUGAGAGGGUGUCCGGCCACACUGGGACUGAGAUACGGCCCAGACUCCUACGGGAGGCAGCAGUGGGGAAUAUUGCACAAUGGGCGCAAGCCUGAUGCAGCGACGCCGCGUGGGGGAUGACGGCCUUCGGGUUGUAAACCUCUUUCACCAUCGACGAAGGUCCGGGUUUUCUCGGAUUGACGGUAGGUGGAGAAGAAGCACCGGCCAACUACGUGCCAGCAGCCGCGGUAAUACGUAGGGUGCGAGCGUUGUCCGGAAUUACUGGGCGUAAAGAGCUCGUAGGUGGUUUGUCGCGUUGUUCGUGAAAUCUCACGGCUUAACUGUGAGCGUGCGGGCGAUACGGGCAGACUGGAGUACUGCAGGGGAGACUGGAAUUCCUGGUGUAGCGGUGGAAUGCGCAGAUAUCAGGAGGAACACCGGUGGCGAAGGCGGGUCUCUGGGCAGUAACUGACGCUGAGGAGCGAAAGCGUGGGGAGCGAACAGGAUUAGAUACCCUGGUAGUCCACGCCGUAAACGGUGGGUACUAGGUGUGGGUUUCCUUCCUUGGGAUCCGUGCCGUAGCUAACGCAUUAAGUACCCCGCCUGGGGAGUACGGCCGCAAGGCUAAAACUCAAAGGAAUUGACGGGGGCCCGCACAAGCGGCGGAGCAUGUGGAUUAAUUCGAUGCAACGCGAAGAACCUUACCUGGGUUUGACAUGCACAGGACGCGUCUAGAGAUAGGCGUUCCCUUGUGGCCUGUGUGCAGGUGGUGCAUGGCUGUCGUCAGCUCGUGUCGUGAGAUGUUGGGUUAAGUCCCGCAACGAGCGCAACCCUUGUCUCAUGUUGCCAGCGGGUAAUGCCGGGGACUCGUGAGAGACUGCCGGGGUCAACUCGGAGGAAGGUGGGGAUGACGUCAAGUCAUCAUGCCCCUUAUGUCCAGGGCUUCACACAUGCUACAAUGGCCGGUACAAAGGGCUGCGAUGCCGCAAGGUUAAGCGAAUCCUUUUAAAGCCGGUCUCAGUUCGGAUCGGGGUCUGCAACUCGACCCCGUGAAGUCGGAGUCGCUAGUAAUCGCAGAUCAGCAACGCUGCGGUGAAUACGUUCCCGGGCCUUGUACACACCGCCCGUCACGUCAUGAAAGUCGGUAACACCCGAAGCCAGUGGCCUAACCCUCGGGAGGGAGCUGUCGAAGGUGGGAUCGGCGAUUGGGACGAAGUCGUAACAAGGUAGCCG
Molecule: ribosomal RNA, 1463 nt
Filed under: Mycobacterium malmoense
Lineage: Bacteria; Bacillati; Actinomycetota; Actinomycetes; Mycobacteriales; Mycobacteriaceae
Description: bacterial SSU rRNA
Rfam family: Bacterial small subunit ribosomal RNA
Source: RNAcentral